GUGCCAGCCGCCGCGGUAAUACGAAGGGGGCAAGCGUUGUUCGGAAUUACUGGGCGUAAAGGGCGCGUAGGCGGCCGAUCAAGUCAGGCGUGAAAUUCCCGGGCUCAACCUGGGGGCUGCGCUUGAUACUGAUUGGCUUGAAUGCGGGAGAGGAUAGUGGAAUUCCCAGUGUAGAGGUGAAAUUCGUAGAUAUUGGGAAGAACACCGGUGGCGAAGGCGGCUAUCUGGCCCGUAAUUGACGCUGAGGCGCGAAAGCGUGGGGAGCAAACAGGAUUAGAUACCCUGGUAGUCC
RNAcentral lists this ribosomal RNA (292 nucleotides) under uncultured bacterium. Its description in RNAcentral is "partial 16S ribosomal RNA". It matches the Rfam family "Bacterial small subunit ribosomal RNA", at positions 505 to 796 of the family's 1533-position model. The record is from RNAcentral.